AUUGAACGCUGGCGGCAUGCCUUACACAUGCAAGUCGAACGGUAGAGUAGCAAUACUCGAGAGUGGCGAACGGGUGAGUAAUAUAUCGGAACGUGCCCAAUCGUGGGGGAUAACGUAGAGAAAUUUACGCUAAUACCGCAUACGAUCUAAGGAUGAAAGCGGGGGAUCGCAAGACCUCGCGCGAUUGGAGCGGCUGAUAU
This 200-nucleotide ribosomal RNA is filed under the name uncultured bacterium. RNAcentral describes it as "partial 16S ribosomal RNA". It matches the Rfam family "Bacterial small subunit ribosomal RNA", at positions 30 to 236 of the family's 1533-position model. The record is from RNAcentral.